GACGAACGCUGGCGGCGUGCUUAACACAUGCAAGUCGAACGGAAAGGCCCUGCUUUUGUGGGGUGCUCGAGUGGCGAACGGGUGAGUAACACGUGAGUAACCUGCCCUUGACUUUGGGAUAACUUCAGGAAACUGGGGCUAAUACCGGAUAGGAGCUCCUGCUGCAUGGUGGGGGUUGGAAAGUUUCGGCGGUUGGGGAUGGACUCGCGGCUUAUCAGCUUGUUGGUGGGGUAGUGGCUUACCAAGGCUUUGACGGGUAGCCGGCCUGAGAGGGUGACCGGCCACAUUGGGCCUGAGGUACGGCCCAGACUCCUACGGGAGGCAGCGGUGGGGAAUAUUGCACAAUGGGCGGAAGCCUGAUGCAGCAACGCCGCGUGCGGGAUGACGGCCUUCGGGUUGUAAACCGCUUUCGCCUGUGACGAAGCGUGAGUGACGGUAAUGGGUAAAGAAGCACCGGCUAACUACGUG
This 468-nucleotide ribosomal RNA is filed under the name uncultured bacterium. RNAcentral describes it as "partial 16S ribosomal RNA". It matches the Rfam family "Bacterial small subunit ribosomal RNA", at positions 28 to 507 of the family's 1533-position model. The record is from RNAcentral.